This 570-nucleotide ribosomal RNA is filed under the name [Eubacterium] nodatum. RNAcentral's name for it is "bacterial SSU rRNA". It matches the Rfam family "Bacterial small subunit ribosomal RNA", at positions 491 to 1059 of the family's 1533-position model. Lineage: Bacteria; Bacillati; Bacillota; Clostridia; Peptostreptococcales; Anaerovoracaceae. The record is from RNAcentral.
CCCCGGCUAACUACGUGCCAGCAGCCGCGGUAAUACGUAGGGGCGAGCGUUAUCCGGAAUUACUGGGCGUAAAGAGUAUGUAGGUGGUUAAGUAAGCGUAGGGUUUAAGGCGACAGCCCCAACUGUCGUAUGCCCCGCGAACUGUUUAACUUGAGUACAGGGAGGGGAAGGCGGAAUUCCUAGUGUAGCGGUGAAAUGCGUAGAUAUUAGGAGGAACACCAGUGGCGAAGGCGGCCUUCUGGACUGUAACUGACACUGAGAUACGAAAGCGUGGGUAGCAAACAGGAUUAGAUACCCUGGUAGUCCACGCCGUAAACGAUGAGCACUAGGUGUCGGGCUCGCAAGAGUUCGGUGCCGGAGCAAACGCAUUAAGUGCUCCGCCUGGGGAGUACGCACGCAAGUGUGAAACUCAAAGGAAUUGACGGGGACCCGCACAAGCAGCGGAGCAUGUGGUUUAACUCGAAGCAACGCGAAGAACCUUACCAGGACUUGACAUCCCACUGAAAGCUCGGUUAAAACUGAGCCCCUCUUCGGAACAGUGGAGACAGGUGGUGCAUGGUUGUCGUCAGC